Drosophila pseudoobscura pseudoobscura is the source of this 72-nucleotide non-coding RNA. The record is from Rfam. NCBI's taxonomy places the organism in Eukaryota, Metazoa, Arthropoda, Insecta, Diptera, Drosophilidae.
ACAUUUAUAGGCAAAAAUCAGUUUCAAUAUUUCUCUUUAAUUAAUAUUGCACUUUUUCUUGCCUCUAAAUUU